RNAcentral lists this long non-coding RNA (1426 nucleotides) under Sus scrofa (pig). RNAcentral's name for it is "lncRNA (ENSSSCG00060010226.1)". The record is from RNAcentral. Lineage: Eukaryota; Metazoa; Chordata; Mammalia; Artiodactyla; Suidae.
UCCGAGCAAGACGAGGCGCAAGAAUAGAGGUGGUCCUGUGUAAGACUGGGAGAAGCAGGUGAAGGAAGGGCUUUUGAGGAGAUGAGCCUGGUGCCUCUGCCACGCCAGCUGUCCCCUCCCGUGGGAUACGGUGUGGAUGGUGCCAGGAUGCUGGCUUGGGGAGGAGGGUCACCCCGCCCUUCGGGAGCUCUGGGUAUGAGUGUGUCGCAGGCAGUGAUGCUGCUUGUCCCCAACUGCGAAUCAAUUUCUCCCACAUGGACACUUCGGAGGCAGCGCUGGUCACCUGCACUGGCCCACAGGAAUGGUUCCAGUCAAUAUAUUUUUACACAAACAACGGAUGAGUAAGAAGGGUGGUUUGAGAUGGUGACAAACACUCAGAAGACAACCUCAUAGGGUGACACGAGAGGAACGGCUGGAGGGAGCUUGGGGCCACUUCAGAUAGGGCACGCAGGGCGCAGAGCAGAGCCCUAAGGAGGUAAACAAACCAGCAGUGACGAUGUCUGAGACGUCAGUUUCCCAGAGAAGAAAAGGCUCCUGGAGAGGCCCCCAGGCAGGAAGCAGCUGGCUUGCUCUGGAACAGGAAGGAAACCAGAGAGGCUGGGGAAUGAUCAAAGGUGAGUAUGGCAGGAGGUGGGUUUGAGGAUGCUGCCAGUGGCCAGAGUGGGACUUCUAGGCCGUGAUAGAGAGUUUGGACUUCAUUGUUCAGUGAAGUCAUUCCAGUGAAGGAGGGAUGGGAUCCAAACAGCCUUUUUUGCAAGAUCGCUCUGGCUGUCGAGAGGGGAGUGGAUGGUAGCGGAGGGAGCGUGGGAGCAGGGAGACGCUUCAGGGGGCUGUGCUGUCAUCCAGGCGAGGGAAGGAGGUGGCACAGGACAGGGUGGUGACAGUGGCGGAGAAGGAUUUGGAUGGCUCUGAUGCACCGCAUCCCCGGAAACUGGACAGGGACUUGGGGUGCAGUGGGACACAGACACUGGCCCAGAGGAGCAGCACAGGGUGAGGGGCCUCAGCCCCCAUCUCUCCCCCGCUGUACCCUAGCCGGGCCCCCCCAUGUACCCUGGGAUGAAUACUGACUUUGAGAGAUGGCAAGGGAAUCGGAUAGAGGACUGGGCAGGAAAGCGCUUUCUAAACUGCAGCCUGGAAGCAGUAAGAGAAAUGACUUUGAGGACAUUCCAGUCAAGGGAGACGUGGCCACGGAGCCCAGCCGUGACUUGGCUGUCAUUCUUGGGUACGGGCUUAUUGUGUCCCCUCAAAAUACAUAUGUUGUAGCCUAACCCCCAAAGGGAGGGUACUUGGAGGUGACUGGGUUUAUGUGAGGUCGUGGGAUGGAGCCCCUAGGAUGGGGUUGGUGCUCUUGUGAGAAGGCAGAAAGGACUUUCUUCUCUCUCUCUCUCUCCUUCCACCCUUCCCUCCCUCCCUCUCUCUCUCUGUC